UAAAAACUUCGGUAGGUGAGGUUACCAUAGGGAUUAGGAUUCAUUUCCUGAGAUUGCUGCCGCGAAAAAAGUGGAGACACUUUCGAGUUGGUUAGCAGGCGUUGUCGAGAUAAGGCACCACCUAAUGCAAUUUUAUAUGCCCUAUGAUACUAAAGCUCAAACGAUGGAAUCAUAG
This 175-nucleotide small RNA is filed under the name Hespellia stercorisuis. Its description in RNAcentral is "Magnesium sequence". It matches the Rfam family "M-box riboswitch aptamer (ykoK leader)". Rfam says of the family: M-box riboswitch, also know as ykoK leader is described as a metaloregulatory RNA that sense divalent metals and function as a genetic control element of genes related to divalent metal transport in bacteria. It was first reported upstream of the B.subtilis ykoK gene and genes with related functions in other bacteria. The record is from RNAcentral. Lineage: Bacteria; Bacillati; Bacillota; Clostridia; Lachnospirales; Lachnospiraceae. RNAcentral also lists the same sequence under 1 other name.